UCAUGCCCGUGGAGCGGCCGAUAUCUGAUUAGCUAGUUGGUAGGGUAAAAGCCUACCAAGGCAUCGAUCAGUAGCUGGUCUGAGAGGACGACCAGCCACACUGGAACUGAGACACGGUCCAGACUCCUACGGGAGGCAGCAGUGGGGAAUUUUGGACAAUGGGCGAAAGCCUGAUCCAGCAAUGCCGCGUGAGUGAAGAAGGCCUUCGGGUUGUAAAGCUCUUUUGUCAGGGAAGAAACGGUGUUUUCUAAUACAGAAUGCUAAUGACGGUACCUGAAGAAUAAGCACCGGCUAACUACGUGCCAGCAGCCGCGGUAAUACGUAGGGUGCAAGCGUUAAUCGGAAUUACUGGGCGUAAAGCGUGCGCAGGCGGUUUUGUAAGUCUGACGUGAAAUCCCCC
RNAcentral lists this ribosomal RNA (400 nucleotides) under uncultured beta proteobacterium. RNAcentral describes it as "bacterial SSU rRNA". It matches the Rfam family "Bacterial small subunit ribosomal RNA", at positions 213 to 605 of the family's 1533-position model. Lineage: Bacteria; Pseudomonadati; Pseudomonadota; Betaproteobacteria. The record is from RNAcentral.